UUUACAGCAAAAAGUAAAGAAGUAAAAGAAAGAAAGAUACAUAAGGAAAUAAUGCAUAUUAAAAAAAAUUGUUCCAAUUCUUUAUAUAUAUAAUUAUUCUACGCAACUAUAAACUUGAUAUUUGCUGUAAAAUUUUGAGAGCAUAAAAAUUUCUCUGUUAUUUCUCAAGGUAGGCUGACCUCAAUUUUUGGGUGCUAAAUAAAUACAUGGAUGAUGACGGGCAAUGUACUGUUACAAGAGUUCUCCUUGCUUCAAAAUUCAGGAAAAUGUCGUAAUUGACUUAUAUUGACUGUAACUGGUACGAGCGCUAAGGGAUAUGUUCCAAAUUUCUUAAAUUUUGGGUAAGAAAUGCGGCUUUUUUGUUGAAUCCAUUUAAUCGGAACACAGGGCUAUGUGGCAUCUGCAUGCAAAUAUGGUAGAUCUGGUCCCUACUCAGAUGUUGAGGGGUCCAGGCAACUCACAGUAACGGCGAAAAUUGCUCGCAUUUCUUGGCUCAACAUCGGAAGAUGGCUUUAAACAAACUCGGCACGGUUGUUCAUUGAAAUCGGGGCAAAAAUACGACUUUAUGAAAUCAAGAUUUCUUAUCCGGAGAUUGGUAAUAAAGGUGCUAUAUUAAGA
Long non-coding RNA from Stomoxys calcitrans (stable fly), 618 nucleotides. RefSeq lists it as uncharacterized. The record is from RefSeq and is a predicted model, not a curated record. The transcript is spliced from 2 exons. NCBI's taxonomy places the organism in Eukaryota, Metazoa, Arthropoda, Insecta, Diptera, Muscidae.